Molecule: ribosomal RNA, 1352 nt
Filed under: uncultured bacterium
Lineage: Bacteria
Description: bacterial SSU rRNA
Rfam family: Bacterial small subunit ribosomal RNA
Source: RNAcentral
AGUUUGAUUCCUGGCUCAGGACGAACGCUGGCGGCGCGCCUAACACAUGCAAGUCGAACGAGCGAGAGAGAGCUUGCUUUCUCGGAGGGUGGGAAGGGUGAAACACGGUGGGAACCCCUUAAAGGGGGGCACAAAGUGAAAAAUUUUUUUAACCCCAAAACCCCCGGGGUUGGAUUGCCAAAAGGAAAAAAGCCAAUCCCUUUUGAAUGCCUUCGUUCCAAUAACUUAGUGGGGAGGAACCGCCCCCAAAGGGGAAAUAUGGUACCGGGAUGGAAGGUUGAACGCCCACAUGGGGAUUGAGACAGGGCCCAGAUUUCUUAGGGGAGGCACCAGUGGGGAAUUUUGCACAAUGGGGGAAACCCUGGAUGCAGGGACGCCGCGUGGAGGAAGAAGGUCUUCGGAUUGUAAACUCCUGUUGUUGGGGAAGAUAAUGACGGUACCCAACAAGGAAGUGACGGCUAACUACGUGCCAGCAGCCGCGGUAAAACGUAGGUCACAAGCGUUGUCCGGAAUUACUGGGUGUAAAGGGAGCGCAGGCGGGAAGACAAGUUGGAAGUGAAAUCCAUGGGCUCAACCCAUGAACUGCUUUCAAAACUGUUUUUCUUGAGUAGUGCAGAGGUAGGCGGAAUUCCCGGUGUAGCGGUGGAAUGCGUAGAUAUCGGGAGGAACACCAGUGGCGAAGGCGGCCUACUGGGCACCAACUGACGCUGAGGCUCGAAAGUGUGGGUAGCAAACAGGAUUAGAUACCCUGGUAGUCCACACUGUAAACGAUGAUUACUAGGUGUUGGAGGAUUGACCCCUUCAGUGCCGCAGUUAACACAAUAAGUAAUCCACCUGGGGAGUACGACCGCAAGGUUGAAACUCAAAGGAAUUGACGGGGGCCCGCACAAGCAGUGGAGUAUGUGGUUUAAUUCGACGCAACGCGAAGAACCUUACCAAGUCUUGACAUCCUGCGACAGACGUAGAAAUAUGUUCUUCCUUCGGGACGCAGAGACAGGUGGUGCAUGGUUGUCGUCAGCUCGUGUCGUGAGAUGUUGGGUUAAGUCCCGCAACGAGCGCAACCCUUAUGGUCAGUUACUACGCAAGAGGACUCUGGCCAGACUGCCGUUGACAAAACGGAGGAAGGUGGGGAUGACGUCAAAUCAUCAUGCCCUUUAUGACUUGGGCUACACACGUACUACAAUGGCGUUAAACAAAGAGAAGCAAGACCGCGAGGUGGAGCAAAACUCAGAAACAACGUCCCAGUUCGGACUGCAGGCUGCAACUCGCCUGCACGAAGUCGGAAUUGCUAGUAAUCGUGGAUCAGCAUGCCACGGCGAAUACGUUCCCGGGCCUUGUACACACCGCCCGUC